UUUUUAAAAUUAAUUGUAAAAUUAAAAUAAAAGAGCCUCAUUUUUAAUCCAAACCGUUGAUCUCUAGUCUUCAAUCUCAGCCUUACAUCUAUUUAAAAAUCAACAAUAUAGAUCAAAAUAAUUGGUUUACCUAUUUUAAACUACCAAGAGCAAAACCCUAAAAAGAAUUCCACUCCCCACCCUUCACCAUAGCAGCGGCUCCCGCUAUCUCUUCUCCUCCCCUCCUCAUCGCUGCUUUCCUUUUCUCCCCCAGCGAGAAAUAAUAGCCAGAAGCUCCAGCUAGCAGGCUUUAUCGACGGAAACAACAAGCUCCAGCCAGCGAGCUCAAGGCAGCGUCACCUCUUUCUCUCUUUCGACAAAGACGAGAAAACAACAACAUCGGGAGUCAGCGAUAUCCCUAGCGCCUCCCUCCAUUCUUUUCACUUUUCCAGCAGCUCCAGCGAUGACCAAUAGCAGGACGGAGAUGGCCAUCGUCUGGUCUUCUCUUUUCCAUUCUCCGAUCAGCGAGUUACGAGGAAGCAACUCCGACGCAGCCACCUUCUCCUCCGAAGAGGCAAUUUCUAUCAGACAUGACUAUCAAUAUUUCUAUCCUAAUUUUUGGCACAAUUGAAUUUGAUUUGAAGAAAAUCGCAUCACUGAUUGAAGGUGGAGCAUAUACAAGUGAAGUGCAGAAGAUAUAAAGGCCUAUGAGAUUGACCAUGAAACUCAGGAGCAAACUAAAGGCUUCAGUACUUUCUACUUUUUGGGCUAAUUUUGUGAACUUGAAUGAAUGCCAAUUCUUGAACAUUCUAGGAUUAUUUUUAUGUUUAGGCUUAAUUUUUGUGAACAUCAAUGUAUGUUAACUCUUGAAUUGUAAAUCAAGAUCAUGUGUACUUAUCUUUAAUAGAUGGAUGUGACUAGUUGAAGUACAUAUUGGUUUAAUAUUUCUAUCAUUAUAUUAUAGUUUACCAUUUAGAAAGUCUAUUGCAAUAGUUUAAUAACAUUGUUGCAAUAGUUUAGAAGAACUGUUGUAAUAGAGUAGAUCGAGUUGUAUAAUAAAGUUGUUGUUAUAGGUCUUUUA
This is a long non-coding RNA of Solanum pennellii, 1060 nucleotides long. RefSeq lists it as uncharacterized. The record is from RefSeq and is a predicted model, not a curated record. The transcript is spliced from 2 exons. Lineage: Eukaryota; Viridiplantae; Streptophyta; Magnoliopsida; Solanales; Solanaceae.